Molecule: ribosomal RNA, 465 nt
Filed under: uncultured bacterium
Lineage: Bacteria
Description: partial 16S ribosomal RNA
Rfam family: Bacterial small subunit ribosomal RNA
Source: RNAcentral
CCUACGGGAGGCAGCAGUGGGGAAUAUUGCGCAAUGGGCGAAAGCCUGACGCAGCGACGCCGCGUGAGGGAUGAAGGUCUUCGGAUCGUAAACCUCUGUCAGCAGGGAAGAACGGUCACUGUGUUAAUCAGCAGUGAAUUGACGGUACCUGCAAAGGAAGCACCGGCUAACUCCGUGCCAGCCGCCGCGGUAAUACGGAGGGUGCGAGCGUUAAUCGGAAUUACUGGGCGUAAAGCGCUCGUAGGCGGUAUGUCAAGUCAAGGGUGAAAUCCCCGCGCUCAACGUGGGAACUGCCUUUGAAACUGGCAAACUGGAGUGUGUGAGAGGAUAGUGGAAUUCCAGGUGUAGGAGUGAAAUCCGUAGAUAUCUGGAGGAACAUCAGUGGCGAAGGCGACUAUCUGGCACAUAACUGACGCUGAGGAGCGAAAGCGUGGGUAGCAAACAGGAUUAGAUACCCCAGUAGUC